Molecule: ribosomal RNA, 471 nt
Filed under: uncultured bacterium
Lineage: Bacteria
Description: SSU rRNA
Rfam family: Bacterial small subunit ribosomal RNA
Source: RNAcentral
AGGACGAACGCUGGCGGCGUGCUUAACACAUGCAAGUCGAGCGGAAAGGCCCUUCGGGGUACUCGAGCGGCGAACGGGUGAGUAACACGUGAGUAACCUGCCCCUAGCUCUGGGAUAGCUCCGGGAAACCGGGAUUAAUACCAGAUACGACCACUUUAGACAUCUGUCGUGGUGGAAAGGAUUCCGGCUAGGGAUGGGCUCGCGGCCUAUCAGCUUGUUGGUGGGGUAACGGCCUACCAAGGCGACGACGGGUAGCCGGCCUGAGAGGGCGACCGGCCACACUGGGACUGAGACACGGCCCAGACUCCUACGGGAGGCAGCAGUGGGAAUAUUGCGCAAUGGGCGAAAGCCUGACGCAGCGACGCCGCGUGGGGAUGAAGGCCUUCGGGUUGUAAACCCUUUCAGCAGGGACGAAGCGAAAGUGACGGUACCUGCAGAAGAAGCGCCGGCUAACUACGCGCCAGCAGCCGC